Molecule: ribosomal RNA, 250 nt
Filed under: uncultured bacterium
Lineage: Bacteria
Description: partial 16S ribosomal RNA
Rfam family: Bacterial small subunit ribosomal RNA
Source: RNAcentral
UACGUAGGGGGCGAGCGUUACCCGGAUUUACUGGGCGUAAAGGGCGUGUAGGUGGCUCGGUUAGUCGUUUGUGAAAGACCUCAGCUUAACUGAGGAAGUGCUGACGAAACCACCGGGCUAGAGGACAGUAGAGGCGAGUGGAAUUCCCGGCGGAGCGGUGAAAUGCGUAGAUUUCGGGAGGAACACCAGUGGCGAAGGCGGCUCGCUGGGCUGUACCUGACACUAAGGCGCGAAAGCAUGGGGAGCAAAC